UUUUUUUUUUAGUUCUGCUUGUUUGUCUUCAUGAAUGACAAUUGCUUAAAACUCUUGAGACACCAUACAGAUAGAAACUUGUCAAGAAAUAAGAUCCUUUGUUCAAGUUGUGAAAGCCAAAAGGAGAACUCUUAAACAAUCACUUUGAUGAGCUGAGAGUGGAGGAAUAGCUACCAAAUACUCUCUUCAAGACUGCUUUUUAUUUAAUAGUUCUGCAUAAUUCUAAUUUAUGAUUCAUUUGUUGAUGUAGCAAUUAAGCCCUUGCUCUGUUGUGCUCAAGAUUCACAGGGUACUUAGGAACAAGGGUUUAAUAUUUUUGCUCUGCAGUACACUUAUAAUCAGUGUUUACUUUAUAACAAAUUGAAAGCACAGUGAGGUACUUUAAAAAGAAUAAUUUUCUGAAUAAAAAAAUCAGUAUAUACAAAAGGGAGUUGAAUCCCAUAUCUAAUUAUCUGUUAUACAUGGUUAAUAAAUAGGAAAUCUGUUUUUUAAGUGUCAAAAUUUAAUUAUGGCCUAUUAUUAUAUUGGCGAAAAGAGAUAGUACAUGAUUUAACUUCUCAGAACAAAUUAUGUUUUGCUUUGUGUAAAAAUUAUAUAUAUAUGUAUAUGUCAAUAGUGUUUAAACAAAUGUCAGAUGCUAUAGAUUACAAGUGCUGUGUAAUUGCUGUGCUCCAUCUCCUUCUCUUUUAUGAUCUUCAUAAGUGGUGUGAUUCUUUUUUUAAUGUUUAGUCUCUUGCUUUAAAAAUAAAUAUUUUACUUGUAGCCAUAAAUUUUUGUUUACAUUUACCUGUAUGAGGCAUGUCAAGUCUCUUCUGUCAGGAAGCAUAACUUUAGCCAUGUCACUGUCAGUUUGGGGGAAUGCAGGAGAAAGUGCCUCAUUAAGUAGUGUAGGCUGCCCUUGAACUUAUUCCAUAACCCAGACUGGCUUCAAACUGAAGAUCCUCUUGCCUUAGCCUUCCAAGUGCUUGGAUUACAAGCAUGUGCCACCACUCUCAGCUUUAGUCUACUGCCAAAUAUGGGCUACAAGCUAAAAAUAGUUUUUACAUUUUGGACGGAAAAAAAUCAAAAGAUUAUUUCAUGUAUAUAAACAUUAUAUGAAAUACAAAUUUUAGAAUCCAGACAUAAAAUUUUAUUGGAAUAGUCAUACCCAUUUAUUUACACAUUAUUUGUGAUUGCUUUCCUGUUACAGCAACAGAGUUGAAUAGCUACAAUAAAGAGUAUCUGGCUCAUACAAACUAAAAUAUUUACUAACUGACCCUUUAAAGAAAAGAAAAAUUGCCUUUUCAGAUCAUAAGUAUCCUGUAUUGUGUAAGCAUUGGUAUUAUUGCCAAGAAAAUGUGAUGCAUGUUGGUGGAAUUCUGAGGUGAUAUGUUUUUGAGGGGAAAUCUGGAAUACUAAAAAUAGAAAACCAAAGUUGUGUUUCUGAGAUUAAUGGGAAACAGUAUGAUUCUGAACUGAUUACUUUAGUUUUCCAUUUCCUGUCAGAUCAUUUUCUUUCUUUCCAGUACUAGGAAUUGAACUCAGGACCUCACACUUUCCAGGCAGAUGCUUACACCAUUGUGCUAAAUCCCUGGCCCUGUCACUUUGUUUUAUUUAAUUUUGCCCAGAAAGAUAUGUGUAGGAUGAGUGAUAUGUCUUUUAGGGAGAUCAUUUGUAAGAUAUCCCCACGAUGUGUCAAACUUAAGCAAGCAACCAUGUCCAGUACUUUGCUUUUUGUUUUUUAAAUUUCUUUAGUUGUCAAAAUAUAUUUCUAUAUGUCCUUACCUAAAUUAUAUUCAAAUCAAGAAGCCAAAUCACACUUUUCCACAAGCCAAGCCAGUCAGUGUACGGGGUGGAGACCAGAGGAGCAGCACUACUCUCUCCAUCAACAGUGGGCUAAUUGGAGGCAAGUUGGGCUGAGGUGAUAGCAACUGAAGUAAACAAAAAUAACAAUGCUUGUAUUGUUUGAUUGACUUUGCAGGCCUAAAGCUGAUAGUCUGAGCAUCUAUUUGGAGGAUAACAAUAUGCAUUAUAACAACUAUAAGGGACUUCCUUCUGUCUUGUUUUUGAAAUCUAAUAUUUUGCUGUUUUGUUUUAUUUUUGUGUCUGGUAACCUGAGCAACUGUUUUGGAGAUAACAGUAUGUAAUAAAACAACCAUAGGAAUUGUUAAAUUUCUUAUCAUCUUGCUUUGAAAACCUAUAUAGCUAUUGUUCUUUGUUGUUGUCUUGCUUUUGUUGCUGUUGUUUUUUUUUUUUGAUUUGUUUUCUUGUUGUUUUUGUUAUUUUUUCCUCUUUAAAAUAAAAGUGUAUUAAAUAAAUAAUACUCAAAAUGGAAAGAAACAUUCAAAAGAAGGCUUUGUUUAAAUUUAGUAGCUUGAGAGUGACACCUUUUAUUGCAUAUUUUGAAACAUUUUAAAAGUUCUUAGCAAAAAGAUGCAUUUCUGUAUUGCAGGUAAAUUAUUUUUAGAAGCAUGUUCUAUUUCAGUAGAUACGUGGAAUGAAAGAUUUUUCAAAUGUAUUAUACUACAUAAAAUGAAACAAUGUUAGGGGGACUACCUGAUUCUUUAUGUCCAGUCUUAUUCUCUUCUUCUCUAAAUAAAAACUUCUGAUCAGCUAAAUAAAAUUUUUCUUUUGCAAUGACAGAUUUCUAUCCAGAUUUUUUUUUUUUAGAUAAUCUUGUAAUCCAUCUGGUCUUUUGAAAUACACAAUUACACAUUGAAAUGUAUCUAUGUUUUCCACAUCAUCUGAACAGUUUUCUAUUGCUUAUUUUUUUUCAAUGUGUGUGAACUGUGAGUCAAAAAUACCAGAAGCAAGUACAAUUAAGUAAGAUAUGUUCCAUGACCACUGAGUCUAAUGUUCUCAUAGACGUUUAGGUACAUCUCAAAGUACUUUUGUUAAAUAAUUAUUAGUAUAAGUCAGACUUCUGCUAUUUCACAUCACCUGAGAAAAUCUGAACAUGCGUACUGAAAGAAGGUAGUCACUCUUGGUUUCGGAUCUUACAGAGCUCUAUAGUGAAUGUACUUUGAUAUAUUAAAUACGGAUUUUUAUGUGUGCAUUUUUAGAGGUUUAAACUGAGAACUCGUUACUUUUCAUCCAAAAAUAUCUUUUAAAAGAAAGUAAUUUCUGAUGUUGAUCUUUAUUUUGUGUCCUAUAAAGAAUCUCUCAAUUUUAUUUCAAACAGAGUAUCUGUUUAUACUUUUCAAAAGCAGAUUUCUGGUUUCAAAACCAAGCUAAAAUACAUUGUGGGUGUUUUGAUCAUUUCUUAUGAUGAUGCAUCCUUUUAGCCAUAAUGAGUACCACUAAUACACUAGAAUUAAAAGUGGAAAUCACAUCUUUUAGAUUAUCUUGGAAAUGUUCCACCUAAUUCUUUUUAAAAAGUUUUCCAAGAAUUGUACUGAUUGUAUAAUAAUAACUUUCUGUGGAUUUUAGUGUUUUGUGAAUAUGUAUGGUAGUUGUGAUUACUGUUGCUGCUUUUUCUUAACAGUUUCAUAACCCCUUCUUAAACAAUUUUGAGACAAAGUAUGUGGACUCAAACAUAAUGUAUAUUCUUCCUGAAACUGUUAGUGAUGGACUUCUUGGACUCCUACCUGCUUCUUGGUUGAAAGUCCCCCAUAGUCCCCCAUCGGAGCAUCUUUCUUUAGUGCAUGUUAACUCCCACGGUGAUGACCCAGAGUCCCUUGAUUUGCAUCUCAAGUUUGCUAUGUACCAGUUGUACGAUCUCUGUGCCUCUAUUUCCUCAUCUAUAAACUGGAAAUGCUGAGAGUGCCUUCUUUAUAGAAUUGUUGUGUUUAUCAAAUUAUAGGCUUUAUUUUCUUAGAAUACAGUUUAGUACUAUAUUCAGUUUGUCAGCUCUUAAUACAUUCCUAAAUGCUGUCUGUAAUGUUCUUGUUUAAUGGAUCUGUGAAACCUUAUAUUCUAAAGUCAGAACCAACUUGUCAGAAUUUUAGGAAGAAAUAAAGAGGUACAUUAAAGCAUUCUGAGAAGCUAUUUAACCUGUCUAGAAUGAUGUUUCAUACAUAGGAGAUAUUCAAUAAUUACAAUAAGUAUAUAAAAAUUUUACAUAUUCAGUGAUGAUGUCAUUCUUAAAAUUCAUGAUGACUAAAUUCUGGAAAUCAAAACCAUUUGAUUUCAGUUUGAGACAGUACAUUAACUCUUUGCAUUAAUAUAUGGAUAAAAUAUGAAUAAUGAAUAGCACAUACCUGGUCUUAUGGUAUGUAAAGCACUAUUCUCAAUUUAUAUUGCUAUUAACUAAUUCUUUUUAAUUUUUAUACUAUUAAUUCAUUGAUGAAGCAAUUAAGUGUCUAGGCAGUCAUAAAUAAUGAGGAUUCAAACCCAGGAAGUUUGGCUCCAGAAUCCUUGUUUUUAAUCCUAUGUAACAAAUAAGCCAUAAUUCCUAAAAGUUAUUCAGUACAACCUUUUUUCCCCACACUUAAUAUUCACCGCAAUUUCCAUGAAGUAUUGAAUGUGCUGAUUUUUGCCUAACUCUGCCUCCUUUUGCUCUUCCAAGCAAGUCUAAAGCACCAGUACUGAAAAUGUGCAGCUAAUUGGAAUUGCCCAGAGAGCUUUUAUUACUACUGAUGCUUUUAAAUCUCAGAAAUUCUGACUCCAUCUCUGCGGUCUGAGAAGUCCAGAUUUUUAAAAGCUCCUUUGAUGAUUCUAAUAUGUAGCAAAGUUUUAGGACCACUAGUCUAAGGGAAAAAUGAAAUUGGCCAACAAACCCUAGGCGAGACUGAGUGUGCCUGAAGGAGUAGGGUGUGGAGGUAGUAUGGUCUACACCCCAGACCAUCCAAGGGUUGAAACUCAGGCCAAUCUGCUUUUGUUCUUUUUUUGUUUGUUUGUUUUUUGUCAUUCUGAGACAGAGUCUAGUUAUGCACUUCAGACUGGCCAUCGUGCUCAUUUGUAGCGCAGGCUGGUGUAGAGCUUGCAGUGAUCCUCCAGGCUCCUCUAAAGUGCUGGGAUUAUAGGCAUGCACCACCACACACAGCUUGCUUUGGUUCUUGUUGACCAUUAUGAAAACAAGCAGAGAAUGCUAGGUGGAAUACUAUGUGAAGGUGCUGUUUGAAAAACAAAAUGGCUAAAUAAUGCUUUCAUUUAGGGAUACCAUCUUAAUGCUCCAAUCAGAAGAGCAGCCUGGUUUUACUAAACUGUUUGGAAAAACUGAUAUUUGUUUCAAAUGUUUAUGGCUUAUUGUCUCAGAAGAUUAACACCAAAUCCUCAAAAAUGUAGUGACGAGCAAUGACUCAUUUUAGCUCAUGUCAAAACAAUGCACUUUUGUAAUUUUCCUGUCCUUAGAGAAGCCAUUAAACACUAAACAAAUGCCUCAAAAUGAAACCAAUUGAGUGUUUUAAAUUAUGUACUCAUGUUUGGCUAUUAGCCAGAUGUUGGUCAGAAAAGCUUUACCAUACAUCAAGACCCAUGAUUUGUGCUGACAGUGAUACUACAAUUUAUGCUGCUUAAAUAUAAGCAAUGUGUAUUCUAAAGCUUAGUAGUCAAACAGAGCUUAUAACAUAAACAAUUUGUGUAACUAGGUUCUCAGCCAAGUGAUUUUUCCCUUUGUUAAAUCUGGAGAGGAUGUACCUAAGGGAUAAGGUAUUUUUCUCUGCAUUAUCUUGUUGAUAAAUAGCACAGAUUCCAACAAGCUUAACAGUCUUACACAGGGUUUUUGUAUUUGUUUUUGUAUAAGUAGUGCUACAUGUCUUGAUCAUAGCAAAGCUCAGUAUAAUGUUCUACAUGUAGUAGGCACAAAAAGUAUAUGUUGAUCAUAAUAAUGAUGUCAACAAAUAAAGAACAAUGUGGCUUUUUCAUUAAUUUCCUAUUAUCUGUCUGCCAGUAUUAAAUGAAGUUUUAUAAGAACUAUCCUGCAGAUGAGGAUUUAGCUCAGCAGCAAAAGUGCCUGCCUGGCGAGCGCAAGGUUGUGAGUUCGAUCCCCAGCACCAAAAAAAAAAAAAAAAAAAAAAUCAUUCUGCCAACUGCAUUUUAUUUUUCAGCAAAAAAGUAAUUAAGUGAUUUGAUUGUCCUUACUGGUUUCCUAAAUAAUGGCUACAUUUAUGAUAUUAGACUUUUAUAAAAAACACUUAUUAUAAUUGACUCAUAAUAUCAAUAUAUUUUUUAUACCAUACAGGUGUGUGUGUGUGUGUGAGUGUGUGUGUGUGUGUGUGUGUGUGUAUGGGGUUUGACAACCAGAAGUCUAGGUUCAACUGUGACUAACUCAUGGCCCACCUUUUUUUUUUUUUUUUUUUUUGUCCCCUUUUUGUGAGUGAAGAGUAAUUACCGUGGGCCACAUAUAAAAUACACAAUAUAGAAUUGGGAGGCCACAGUCUGGCUACAGCUAGACACAUCCAGGACCUAGAAAAGAGUAGGUAUUCCAUAGAUAUUUGUUUAACUGAAUUGAGCAAAUGUUCUACUGAUACUCAUUUUCUUUUUUCCUCUCCCUCCCUCUCUCCCUUGUUUCUUCCUUCCUCCCUUCCUGUCUUCCUGCCUUCCUGCCUUCCUGUCUUCCUCCUUUCCUUCUCCUUUCUUUUGAAAUGAGAAUCAAUCUCAGAUGCAGUUCCGUAAGUGAACAUAGAGUAGGUAAAGAAAAUGCUUUGGGUAAUUCCAUCGCAUAUUGAUGUGCUGUCAUUCCUAAAGAAGUUAUUCUAAUCCAUCAAUAAUUAUUAUCUAGUUGUCAGCCCAUUCUAAGAUGAAAAAUAGUGUGGUGGCUAGUAAUUCAAACUAUAUCUAAAACUGUCAUUUUGAUCCAAUGACUAAAUCUUAAAUAUUACAAUAAUUUGUUAUCUGUAGACACUGGAUAGCUAAGAAGGUUAACAAAGUGCUUGUCAGGAAGAGCUUCACACUAAAUCACUAGCUUGUUCUUUUUGUGAUAAAAAAUGGGUAGUGUCCACAUGUUAUAUUUUUUACUAUUCUAAUUACCUGUCCUGAAAAAGGAUUCAUGGAAUUUGGAAGGUUUCACAUUAGGGCAAACAGACCAGGAUUGAUGUGACAUCUGUGUGAAGAUAUCUAAGAUUUACACUGUAAAUUGGAAAGAUAAAAGUGGAUAGUGAAUUUGAUUAAAAUCUAUAAAAUCAUAAGCAUUAUGGCAGGGCAAACACAUUCAUGCUUACCCAAACUUAAGACUGCUAGAAUCAGAAGCCUGAAAGAAGUACUUUGUCAAAGAGCAGUAUCACCUCAUGAUGAAGGAUACAAGCAAAUAGUUAUACAGCUGAGUUCAGUUCCCUAUUCUGCCCAUUUGAAGUUCUAUGUCACAGUUUCUUUAAACUGUAUGUGACAGUUUCUUUAAACAUAUAGUAAACACCGUGUGUAUGUGUACAUAUGUAUACACAUGAGAUUAGGUACAUGUACACAUAUUAAGUAUACUGACUGGGUGUGCUAAAAACUAGGUUUAGAAGAAAUUUGAUUUACAGUUGAAUUCAAAGUUUGCUUAUGUCUUCCAUUCUCUUUGCAUCCACCGUGAGAGAUGAGGCCCUGGAUUGGUUGGGUCAGUGACCCCAACAAAGAGUGUUUCUGUUUUAAGAUAUUUUGCACAAAAAACAACUAAUCUCUUUUCUUUUAUUCCCCAAGCUAAAAUAAUGAUAAAAUCAUCAUCCCUGUUCCCUCAUUUACUUACAAUAAUUUGUCCUAAAUGAAAAACACUUCAUUUGGUAAUAGAAAAGUAUGACUUCAAGUAAUAGAAACAAGUCCAAGCUAAUUGAGUUAAGCAAGAUUGUUGGCCAGGGAAAGUAACUGUUGAGAUAGGCAUCUUGUUUUUCCAAACAAAUACUCCUCCUUUAGAAUCUGAUUGGGCCUUAAUCUGCUUACCAUUUUUUCAGCUGCCCAGCUUUCAGAAAAGCACUUUACCUUGCUGGCAACAGUGAGUGUGGUGAAUGUUUUUGUUAUUGUUGUUCUUAAUGAUAAGUGUGUAGUUUUUAUUCUCAUUGUAAACAAAGGUCUGAAGGGCAACGGACCAAACUAUUUCACCAUAAGAAUGUGCUUGUUUUGUUAUGUCCAUCAUUUCUCAGUAUUUUUGUUCCUGAUCUUAGGAUAGAUCUUUCAGUAGGGAAACAACAAUAGUGCUUUCCAAUCAAGUAUUUAUAAUUACUAUAAGUAGUACAGAUGGCCUGGUAAAAUUUGUGUAAUUCUAUCACAUGUUGAUGUGCUGACAUUCCUAAAGAAGUUUUUCUAAAGCACCAGUUAUCAUUAUCUAGUUGUCAGCCCAUUCUAAGAGGAAAAUAGUGUGGUGGCUAGUAAUUCAAACUAUAUCUAAAACUAUCAUUUUGAUCCAGUGACUAAGUCUUAAGUAUUACAAUGAUUUGUUAUCUGUAGAUACUGGAUAGCUAAGUUGAAUUCUAUCAAGACAGUGUUUUUAGCACUGGAAUUUUUUUGUUAGUAGUAUGUGCUUCCAGUACAUAAUGAUUACGUUUAUCAUGGGGAGUGAUACAUAUAUAUAACACAUCGGAGUUUUUAAAAUUAUUUUUGGUCCCCUUCCUCUCUGGUACCUCUCUGUCCCCUCCAAGUCUUGGUCUCCUUCCUGUCUAUAAAAGCUGUUUCCAAUUUUUUCUUCAGUUCCUUUUUACUCUAUCCCCAUUCCUUCCUCUCCCUCCUCCUCCUCUCUAUAUCCCCUUUCCCAUUUGAAAAACAUCUUCCUACUUCCACUUCCUAUAAUCUAUUAUUUUGCUCUUUAUUUAAAUUUUGGAUUUCUCAUAUAAGGAAAAUCAGUAUUUAAAUUUGGGCAUCUGAUUUAUUUCACUUACUAUUGUGGUCACAAAGUUCAUUCAUUUACCUGUGAAUGCCUUAAGUUAUUGCUUUGUUGUUGUGUUUGUUUGUUUGUUUGUUUGACACAGGGUCUUGCUCAUGCUGGCCUCGAACUCAUAGCAAUCCUCUUUCCUCAGCACCCCCUCUUCCGUGUAACAGCUGUGUGCCACCAUGUCCAGCAAGUUUGUCAUUCUUUAUGACAUAGUCUUCCAUUGGGUACAAAUAUAUUUUCUUUACCCAUUUAUCUGUUGAUGUACAUAUGAACUGUUUCCAAGAUUUAGCUAUUAUAAAUUGUAACAUUGGCAUUGAGAUCACAGAGCCUUUUAAACAUUGAUUUUUGUUAGUUUGAUAUCUUACUAUCAAACCUAGCAAACCUUAAAGUUUCCUUUUCUUUUGUAUUUCUAAAUUUUUCUUUAUGACUGUCUCUUCUCAAUUAACCUUAGAUUCCUGCCUAUUUUACCUCCCCAUCACUGCAUCAACUAACUCCUCAUUGCCUCCAUGCCCACUUAUUUUCUGCAGGAGUCAGCUCAAUUUUCAUUUCUUGUUCUAUCAUCUUUAGUCCUAGUUGGCUCUGUUUUCUGUUUUUACCAUGUCUACAGCUUUUUAUUUCUUUCCCAACCCCUGGCAAACUUUUUGAAAGGGUAUUACCACAUUUACGGGCCUACCUCUUGAUUACCUUCUUUGGGUUAAAGUCUGGUGUCAUUGCCUACCAUCCUGAUGAAAUUGUUCGCUCAGAGGUACAUAAUGGUGACUUCAUCAUCAUAUCCAAUAGGCUUCACUCUGGUUUUAUCCUCUUCUUUUUUAUAUAUGUACCUUUUAACAUAAUUGACUGUCUGUGCAUUCCUUGAAACAUUUUUCCUUCUAAAAAAAUAGCCUCUCCAAAGUCUCUUCCUAGAGUCUAAAUUGUGUCUCUUCUACCUUCUUUCAUAGCUUAUUCCCCACUUCCUGCCCUAAAAUAUAGGUAAUGAACAUGUGGACACAGAAAGGUUAAGUGAAAUUAUGGUUGAUAUCUAGAUGUCUCCUGAGGGCCUCAUGUGCUCACUGGUGGGACUUUUGGAAGGUUAAUUGAUUUAUGGUAACUUAGAGAUGACUCGCCUUUAGAAGUGGGGUCUGGUCAGAAGAGAGGGGUCACUGGGGAAGUGACCUCUAAAGGUUUGUCUUCUUUUCCAGCUUCUCCCUUCAUUUUCUGCUUUCUGCUCACCGGCAUGAGAUACUUUUCCUGUACUGUGCCCAUCUGCCAUGCUGCUGUGCCUUGGAGCCAGCAGACUAUAGACCUAAUCCUCUACAAACUAUGAGCCAAAAUAAAUACCUCUUUUAAGUUGUGAGUGUAAGGUAUUGUAACUCAGAGACAAGAAAGUGACUAAGACAAGUGGUUUGCUAGGUUGUAGCUAGAGUUAUCCUCAAAACAUCAGUUGUCUCUUUCUUCCUGGUUAUACAGCUUCCCAACCAGAUAGUUCUAGCUUUUCCUGAACUGAGGUGUAACUAUGGGAGUUAGUUAGAUCAAUGAAAUAUGCGUAGAAGAAAUAGAUAAGCAUGUCCAAUUUGGAAGCAAGGUAUCUUUCAGACACUUUUCCCUAACCCUAUCCCCAAGCCCAUGCACUGUAACAAGAGAUAACAUAGGGUUUCUGCACUGAUCUUUACAAAUGAAGACAACUCUGAUCUUAUGAUGAGCUCUGUUAAGUUUAUUUAAAUUUGCUUAAGUAUUUUUGGAUCAUCUGUAACUUCUUGAAAUAAUUAGAAUGUAUGUAAGUCUAAAUAAGUCAUUCUGGGGACUCAUUUUUAUGAUUUUAGACUUUAUCCAAACAGAUACAUAGUGGAAAUAGUCCUUCAAUUCUGAUCUUCCAACAUUUUGUACUUUGUUACUUUGUCACAUUUUCUUUAUGCUACUGAAAUGCAUCUUAACUACUUAUUAACCCCAUUAAUUUCACAUUCACAGUUCUUUGUUCUCUGAAUCUAACUUGGUAACCAAAGCUUUCAUAUUCCCUGUUCUUAAUCCAAAGCAUAGCCCUACUAUUUCUUGAAUUUAAUUUCUUUUUUGCCCUAAUUUCCUUCCCUUAUUCAGUUAAAUCCACCUAUAAUGCUUUGUUUCUCUGUCUCCCUCUUUUUGUCUUCUUCUUCCUGUGUGAAUUGUGCCUUUCUUUUAAGAUGUAGUUCAAGUAUUACCUUUUCCAUGGUGCUCUUCCUGAACUCCAUUAGUGAUGACAUCAUUUUUUUUACCACCUCAGUGUUUUCCUUCAUAUGAGAGUGGGAGUCAUGUAUGUGGUAUGGUGUAGUGACAGUAUUUUGAAAUGAGUGAAUAAAUGAACUUGACAAUAAGUGACUUUUUUAGGAGCUAAAAUUUCUUAUUGAAUAUUAACAAAUUUUGAUGUAGACAUACAAUGAUUAUGGCCAAGAAUCAAAGCUCCCUCACAUCCUUUUGUGCUUUCUUUUCCAUUGAGGUUCUGACUCAGCAGUUCUGAGUCAGCAGAUUUGCUGCACUGUAUCACUUUCAUCUUCCAUAGCAAAGGAUAUCUUGGUGCUAACUGCUGAUGCAGUAUGACCAUGACCUAAUUUGGCCUUUCAGCAAACAAGUCCUUUCUGAUUGCUAUAUAGUGAGAAGAGGGCUAUGUGGAAAAAGAGAUGCUAUUUUCUAUUCAAGGCAGAUGAUUUGACUUAGACAACUAUGACAACUGGCUUUGCUCGUGUUCUGUUGGCAUCUUGAAAGAACAUUUGAACCAUAUUUCAGAUGCCAUUGUGUUCCUACCUCCAGAUGCCACAUUUAGAUAUCUGAUUCAGUAUUUUUAGGAUUAGACCCAAAAAUCUGUGCUUUUAAAUAUCUCCCAUGACAAACUUUAAUGAUCAGUUAGGUUUGGAAUCUCCUGGCAUAGAACGAUUAGAAGUUCAGAUAUGAGAGUUAGACCAACUUCACCUCUGACAUUACUAGUAGUGUAACCUUGGGAAAGUUACUUAGUGUCUUUGAGCUUUAGUAUGAUUAUCCAAAUGUGGACAAUAAUAGUACCUACUUUAAAAGAUUAUUAUGAGGAUUAAAUGAGAUAAUCCAUCUCAGGUGCUAGCAGUGUUUGACAUUAAGCAUUCAGUAAAAUGUAACUAUUAUUUUUGUCGUUAUUUACAAGAGAUAUUUGUGUUGUUUUAUGUAAAAUAUACAAAACAAUCUUCCAUUUCUAAAAAAAAUCAUGAAAUAGAUGUGUAUAUGUUUGUUGGUUUUCUCUUAAUGGAGUUCAUGAUUUGCCUCAAGGAUUUGAUUAAAAGUCUGUGUGAGAUUAUUUUGACUGCAGUUCUUUGUAAUUUAGAGAUUAGUCACCUUAUAUUUCUUUUUUAAUUACAAGGAAUAGACUAUUACAAAUGCUUAAUAGGAAAAUUUUAAGAACCAAAUGUUCUAAGGCAGCAUUUCUAAAACAAGUAAUGGUUAAAAUUUUAUAAUUUGUGGGCAGGAGGCAGGGAUAUGAGUAAAAAAACUACAAAGAGAGCCACCUAUUUCAAGUUGCUUUCUCAUAAAAUUAAUUCCUCUUCUGAUUAAACAUCAUAGAGUGGAACAGUGGCACUCUGAGCUAAAAUUUGAUUUGGUGGUGCCACUUAAAAAUAAACCUGAGUUUUACUUUAUGUGUGCAUAUAUAUGCACAUUACUAUGUGUGUUUUAUAUAUUCAUGGGGGAACAUCCAGAACCCUUACAGCAGGAAGAGGGUGGUUGGGGUAGGGAAAAUCAUGUAACUGAAAGGUUUUAGAGGGCUAGAGAUAAAUAGCUCUGUUAUAGAACACUUGCCUAGUGUACACAAAGGUUAUGAGUUCAUUCUCAGUACUGCAAAAACAAACAAUAAAAAGAAAAAGUUUUAGAGCUACUGAGAUAUACCAUAAUUAUUUGUUAUACCCUUCUCCCCAAUGAUAACAGAAUAGUGAAAUGUCAAAUUUUGGAGCAGAAUUAUUCAUGGCAGGGGCAAGAUUUCUGUUAGGUGAGCACAAAUUCUAGGGCAGCCAGACAUGGUGAUACACAUCUGACAGAAGGAUGGCAAGUUUUGGCAAGUUUGAGUACAGCUUGGACAAGUUAGUGACCUAGCAAGUCUUUGUCUCAAAGCAAGUGGAGAUGUAGCUUAGUUCCACCACCAAAAAAGGCAAAAGCAAAAACAAAAAACACCAAAGUAACCACCAAGCAUCUUCUUUAUAUAAUGAAGUAGUAAUAUGGCUAAUACUAGAGUGUUAAAAAAGAAUUUAUAUACUUUAUAUCCAUAUGUCAUGACUUUCCUCUGUAGAGAUUGAAAAAUCCAUUACACUGCAAAUUUUCAUUAACUGUUACUAACUUACGAUAAGUUCUAGUUCAUUUAGAUGUCUGAAGCAUAUAUUUUUAUUUCAUUUGCAUUCAACUGAAUUCUCAGAUUGCCUGGAGAGUAGAUGAUGAGACUCUUCCUAUACAGUGCCUUUCCUGUUCUUACUAGAGCAAACUGUUCACACUCUGAGCUCAUUUAUCAUUGUCAACAAAGGCUGUCAUCAUCUAAACACGCUGAGUGAGAAAUUUCAUUUCUUUGGGCAAGAAGCAUAUUAUGGGCUAUACUUUUAAUUAAGAAUCAGGCUGAUUACUUGAUAGUUGAAUGCUUUAGUUUCAGGUCAGUUUACCCUCAUUUCUCUUUCAAAUGUUAGGUAUUCUUAGCUAUCCAGAACCUAUGGAAUUCUUAAUAGGGUUGAUUUAUAUAUAAUUUCUACUCUUUCACUCAUAUGAACUUACAUCUAGUCUAAAAACCUGUGUGAGUUUCAAAGGCUUAAAAAGGAUUAAAAGGCUCUAAAAAUUUAAAUACUUCAUCCAGUGAGUAUGUUUACCUAAAUGUGUCAUCAAGCUUCUCAGUUUUCUGGUUAGAAAACCAGUUUGGGACAGACUGACUCAUGCUAUGGACUGAUAGAAUGCAAACACAUUCAGAAUUCUCUUGGCAAGAUUAAUGCAAUAAAAACAGGGUUCUGUGAGCUUUUAGAGAUGAAGUAUUUCAUUUCUCAAAUAAGUCUUCCUAUCAUUAUGAGCUUUCAAGGUAAACACACACAUGUCUUUGGUUUGGCACUGAGUAAAGUGGCAAGUAUACAUUACUACAGUAUCGUCAGUACUCCUUGCCACUUUUUGAGGAAUUUAAGGUAAUCUGGGAAGAAUUACUAAUCAACCCUUACAGUGAUAGUAAAAGUAAAAGUCUCUGAUUCUAAAUAUUAUCUUCAUAUGCAAGUAAAUAUUUUACUGGGUUUAUGAUUCACUUUUUGGGGUACAGGUCUCAAAUGCUUUGCCCUAACAGUUACCUUCAUUGUUCUCCAGUGAUCUCAUGCAAGGAAAUAGAUAACAUAACUGUUUAUGCCCCUUUUGUAGAUAGAAGCAUCAAACAAUGCAUGUUAGUUUUUUCUCCAUGUUGCCCAACAAAUUUGGAGCCAAAUUUAAAAGAUGGCCAGUGACAGUGACAUUCUGUUAGUAAGGUUAGCUGAGUAGCUCUUUUCAGGGAUGAAGAGAUGGAGAUUGGAAUGUCUUCUGGUAAAGCUUAGAGCACAAUUAAAAUGCUCAUUUUCUACUUGGUUAUAUAUGUAUCACUUGCUUUUGUUCACAAUGGUUCUAUUAGCCGAUUUUAGCCUAGGCAAAAGGAGUUAGGUAGCAUAUUAUACAUUUAUACCUCCAUUUCUGAAAUUUAGGAUAAAAUGAAAUUUUUCUAUUUACGUUAGCAAAUGGAGACAUAUUUCCACAAUCCUAUAUUGUUAUAAAAUAAAUUUAUCAGGCAGUUAUAUAGUAAUGGGUUUCAUGAAAUUUAUUUCUCAAGAGCUUUGAUCUCUUUAUUUUAUUAGUUGUCUGAUUGUUCUCAGUGUUAUUAUUGCUAAGGUCUCUCCAAAUAUGACUUUAGACACACCUAACACAAUCUUUUCUACAUAUUGUGGGUUCUCUAAUAGCAUACCAGUAACAGGUUGAGGUUUUUCUGCAUGACAUGGAGUCAGUGCAAAUGGGAAGCCAAGGGUAUUGCAUACAAUCUAAUGUACUCAUUUUCAACAGAAAUUUAAUUCUAUGACCAUAUCUUAUUUUCAUUUCUUUUCUUUGUGCCAGUGGGUACAAUUCUCUACUUGCUAAGAGUCUAUUCAGACUUCAAGCUAAUUGUUGCCUACUAGAAGCCUUCUUUUCCCUUUAUACAAAAUGAAUGCACCACUUUAAGGUCCCUGAGCACUCUUGUAUAUAUCCCUGUUAUAGCUCACAUCUAAUUACUCGGUACUACUUACAUUUCUUUUCUUUUCUUUUUUUUUUUUUUUUUUGCGGUGCGGGGAUUGAACUCACAACCUUGUGCUUGCCAGACAGGCACUUAUGCCACUGAGCUAAAUCUCCAGCCCUACUACUUACAUUUCUUACCAGACCUUUAAAAUUGGAGUCUAUGUCAUACAUAGUGUUAAGUAACAUGAAUGUGGAAUGAAUGAAUGGAUAAUAAAUGUCUUUAUUUUCUUUCCCUUUAAUAUAGAACCAAAAAGCUUUUUCUCUUUUUGUAACCCAAUAAAUAAUAAACUGCCUUUGAUCAUUUCCUUUUGGGUAAAUAUCCUCAUUUACUAUGUCUAAGUCCCUCUCCAUGUUAGUUCAGUUUGCAUUCCUGGUACAAAAAACCUGAGGUAACCAACUCAAAAACAGGAGAGGUUUAUUUUGGAAGGUUUCAGUCCAUGGUGGAUUGGGCCUUGCUUCUGAGCCUUUGGUGAGGCAGUAGUGCAUCAUAGUGGGAACUUGUGGCAGGUAAAGCCAGUUCACCUCAGGCCCAGAACAAAGGAGAAAGGGGUUGGAGCUCCUGGACCUCCUUUAAGGGCCCAUCUGCAUUUACCCAACUUCCUUCCACUAGCCCCACCUUGUAAAGACUCCACUACAUCCUAGUAGUGCCACAGGCUGGAGGCCAAACCCAUUAACACAUUGGCUUUUGGGGGACAUUCCAAAUCCAAACUACAGCAGUAUCGUUUCAUUCUUGAUGGCAUUACCAGUCCUUCCUUGUAAUGUUUUCGGAAACAUUAUGCUUGAAACAGACCUUGAAAACAUUAUGCUGAGUGAAAUAUAUACGAUUACCUAUUGUGUGAUUCCAUGUCUAUUGAAAUGCACAGAAUAGGCAAAUCCAUAGAUGCAGAAGGGAAAUUAAUGGUUUCUGGAGCUGGGAAGUUACUGCAUAACAAACACAGCAUUUGUUUUUUUUUAAUUGACAGGUAGUAUUUUGCUGCAUGGAUAUACCACGAUUUUUUAUGCAGUUUUAUUUAUGAAAACUGAAACAUAUAUAUUGUUUACAUUUCUUGAUUAUUACAAAUAAUACUGCAGUAAACAUGUGUGUAUAAGACUUGUUUGGAUAUAUUCUCAUUUUUCUUGAGUAUGUACCUGUUAGUGGAAUAUCUGAGUCAUAUGGGCUCAAUAGAAAAAGCUAACUCAAACUCGAACUCAUAUUCUCCUACCACAUACACAACACAGGUCAUUUCUGUAAUCCCAAAAUGUGAGAGGAUUUUUUUCCACUAAUAAGCAAGCAGCUCUGUAGAAGCAAACACAAACUGGACAUUCCAUAAUUCAGUGCUGAUGCAACGGGUUGAGGGCUCAGUUGCCAGGAUUACUCUUAUCAGGUUGUUUUGCCUGUGCUUCUGAUCAGUCAGCUAUGAAUCAGCAUUCCUACAAUUCCUUCCUUCUGUUCAGUCAGUUUGCACAAGUAACUCAGUGCACAGGGAACUUCAUGCCCUCUAUGAGUGCAGCAACCUCCAGGGUCCUUCACAGUUCAGCGAUCCAGAAACUCUUAGUAUCCAGCAUUUUUGAGUUUUUUGGAGAUGUCAUUGUGUAAGUGUGACUGAAGCAGGACAAUUGUGGGAAUGUGAUUGGACAAAAGGGUGUAAUCUACUACUAUUAACAAACAGAUUGAGUGAGAAACCCAGUAAAGCCUGCUUGUUCACAUUAUUCUUGCCCUUUCUGUAGAGCAUUCCUUACUCCAGGGUAUGGGGCAGGUUGCAUUCUGAAACAAGGAUCUUAUGAUCUAUCAUCAGACAAGAUCAAAGAAUUUGUUUAUUUCUAAUUCUGAGACAGAAAGGCAAGAGAUGAAAGAUUUGUAACCCAUUUUGAGGAAAAGAAAUUCUAGUUUCUGUCAUUUGCCCUGGAAAGGGAGUUAUGAGGAAGAAGCUAUGGGUAAAAGCCAAAAAAUAUAUCACAUACGGGAAUAAUAGAUCAUUGAAUAUUUGUGGGCCUCUUGUGUAUUCAUAUAUUGAAAUUCUAACAUCAUGUAAUGAAAUUGGGAGAUAGGGCCUUUAGGGGGUAAUUAGGUCAUUAGGAUGAAGCAUUCAUAAGUGGGAUUAAUGCCUUUAUAAGAGCUUAUUCGUUAGUGAGAAUAAUGCCUUUAUAAGAACUUUCCAGUCCUCUUUUCUCCAUGUAGAGAUACCAGAAGAAAACAGCUAUCUGCAACCCAGAAGGGGCCCUAAUCAUAACCUGACCAUGUAGAAGAACCCUGCUUCCAGACGUACAGCCUGCAGAAAUAAAUGUAGAAGCUCAUUGUAGUGGCUCACAGCUGUAAUUCCAGCACUUGGGAGACUGAAGCAGGAAGAUCCUUGGGAGUUCAAGACCAGCCUGGGCUGCAAAGUGAGCUCAAGGCCAAUCUGAACUGCAUAGUGAGAUCCUAUCUCAAAAAGAUUUAAAAAAAAAAAAAAAAGGAAAGAAAGAAAGGAAUGUAUUAAACACGCUGGAGGCAGGAACCAUGGCUUCUUAUAUAUAUCGACCCUUCAAUAAGUAUUAAGCAGAAGAAAUGAGUAGACAACUGAGUUAUCACAUAGAGAAAAUUAUGUAGGCUUCAAGGAAUUGAACAGACUGAUAGCUGAGAAGAAAGAAUUUGUAAGGUAUUUUGGAAGAAAAAAUGAAAAAUGGGGCUGUGAAUCUGGUCCAUAUUCCAAAGGAUUCUAAGAAGAUCAAAGUCACAGAGGGGAAAAAAAUUAAAUAUGACUUUUAGAAGCCAGAAUGGUAGUCAUCUCAUGUAUGUAGUUACUUUUCUUGUUGGUGAUACAAAAUGCCUGACACCCAAAGUUAAAAGGGGAAAGGUUUAUUUAGCUCAUAGCUUGUAGAGUUGUUAGUCCAUAAUUGUCUGUCUCCAUGAUAGGGUGGUCUGGUAGACAGCAUUGCUGAAGAGAAACAGUUUAUGGCAAGCAGAAGGACUGCAAAAGCAACAAGGGAUAAAACAAACCUCUUUCUGUCCCUUAUAUUGUAUCUAGGCUACUGGGGUUAGGGUGGUGCCAAACCAAUUAGUGGACUGAUUUAGUUGUCAUCCUCCCUUAAUCCUAGCUUUGCAUCAUGAAUCAAUCACACAUUCUAGUUUCUGAAAAAGCCCUACCUGUGACAGCAUUAAUCUUCAGGGGGACAUCUAGACACAAGCUAGACAUACACAACAUUUUGCCCCUCAGCCCACAAAGACUCAUGUACAUCCCUGUAUGAAAAAAGCAUUUAGUUCAUCUCCAAGAGUUGCCAAAGUCCUGUUUCAGAUUGCUGAAAAGUCCAAGUCCAAAGUCUCCUCUGAGAUUUAAGGCAAACUCUUAUGUCCUUGUACAAAUGAAAAAGUUCCAACAUAGAAUGGCACAAGAUAAACAUUACCAUUCCAAAAGGUACAAAAAGGGAAAUAGAAAAGAAGAACAAAGCAAUUCUAAAAUCAAGGAGGGCAAACAUUAAGUCCUAUAGUUUCAUGUACAGCAUCCGAGGCAAUUUGUGGCAAAAUGUGAGCACUAAAAGGCUUGAGUGGCUCUACUCCUGUGGCACUACAGUUCGGUGUAGUUUCCAUAACUUUUCUCUUGGGUUGUCUUUGCUCCCUUCUCUUAGUUUCCCUCAGACAAUCUACAUUCCUGGCUUCUCUAAACUUCUGGUGCUCCUCCAGUUUCAUACUCAGUUUUGCACACCGUCCUUUCAUGGGCACACUGCCUGGCCUACCAGGCCUUCUUUUCAGAUCUGGCUGGAAUCAUUCAUGACCCUACACCUCUUGCACUCUGUAUGCUCCUAAAACCUUUAAUAUUUUCCCCUUUAACUUUGGGUGUUAAAUCCAAAACUAGCAUCACACGGAUGAUGCCAAGGUCUGCUGCCAGCUGGAGCAGUAGCCAGCUUCCUUCUCUCUUGGCUAGGAUCCAAUGCCUGUGAACUCAGUCCCAAGGAAUAACUUCUCUAAACCACUGCCAUUCUGGAACGUGGCACUCCAGGAGUCGCUUCUCAAAGAAGUCUUUCAUUUUUGCAAUUUUUAGACUGCAAAGGAUAGAGUCUUGUUCCUUGUGAUAACCUCAAGCUAUCUUUUCUAGUCUUAUAUUCCUUCUCAGCAAUCAAGAUCUCCUUUGCUCUAUUUUGUAGUCCACAGCUUUACUGGAGCUUCCUUUCUGCCAAAUUCAAAAUGUUUAAAUCACUCUUUUUGGCUAUUUGCUAUUGAUUCUCAACAUAAAUACAGCUAAAAUCCUGCAACAGUAGCUGUGACACAGCCCUAAUAUUAGACUGCCUUGAAAUUUUUUCUGCCAGAUUAAUUAGUCUACCACCUUUAAUCUGAGUCUCAGGCAAAGUGUCUGGACAUGCACAGUGCAGGCAAACUUUCUGCUAAUGCAUAACACACAUCAUCAGAAGUCCAACAACCAGUGCAGUCCUUCUUCCUAACAGAAACCUCCUGAGCCUGGUCUUUGUCAGCAAGAUUUCUAUCAACCAUCUCAUCUUCUGAGCUCUGACAAGGCUGUUCCACCCAAUAAAGUUUAGUGUUCCAGCUCUACUUUUGCAGCUAGUACUACUAGUUCCAGCUACUACUAGUUGCAGCUAGUUCCAGCUACUUUUGCAGCUCUCUGAACCUUCCCUAACUCUUUCCCUUCUUACAAGCCAUUUCCAAAGGCUCUUGAGCCAGAUGGUCAGGUAAUGUCACAGCAAUUACCCCACCCCUUGUACCAGAUUCUGUCUUAGUUACUUUUCUUGUUGCUUAGACAAAAUUCUCAACACCCAAAGUUAAAGGGGGAAAUAUUAAAGGUUUAUUUAGCUCACAGUUUGUAGAGCUUUCAGCCCAUAAUCUGCUGGCUCUAAGCCAGUGUGACUUGGAAAAUGGGUAUCACAGCACAGAACUUGUAAAUGGCAAGCAGAAAGCAGUGAAAGCAAGCAAAGGACAAAAUAAUCCUCUUUCUGUCAUUCAUAUUGUAUCUUGACUACUAGGGUUAGGGUGGUGCCAUACCAAUCAGUGGGUUGAUUUAGUAAUCACCCACCUUUAAUUCUAGCACCCUUAGUACUAGCAUUGUACCAUGAAUCAAUCGCAUACUCAGAUUCAGUCAGCUCUGAAAAAGAUUCACCUAUGACUGCAUUAGGCUUUGGUGGGGGGUUAUCUAGACACAGGCCAUAACAUCAUCCAUUCCCAUAAGGCCAAGUAUUAAAUACAACUGAAGCAGUAGAUUGAUCAGAGUGCAUACUUGGGGAAGAACUUAGCAGUUUUUCUGUUGUUGGAUCUCUGUUAGAAUUUUAAGUAUAGACUCAGAAAUUUAACAGUAGACAUCAAUGAAGACUUCAAGUUUAUUUAUCAGAUGGUUGCUUAUAAUAAUAAGUUCAUGUGUGCAUUGUUUGAUAAUUUCAGUAGACAAGUAAUUAUUCCAUUUUGUAGAUGAAGAAUUCAGAAUUCAAAAAGCUUAAAUAUUUUUAGCUAGUAAACUUUGGAAAAAGACUGAAAAUUCAGGUAUUCUGACUUCUUUCUCUCUAUGCUUAUUGAACUACAGUAAUUGACAUUCAUAUUCUAUAUUAAGCGUAAAGGUGUUCUCUAGUUUCUUGUCCAUUAAAUUCUAUAAUCAAAGAAGCUACUGGACAUCUCCUUUUAUUCUUUACUAAAAUAAAGUCUGCUGAUGAGGUCUAAAUAAGCAGACAUACAUCAUGGUUUUUCUUAGCUAUGCGUGUGGAGUUUUCUUGUUUUGUUUUGUUUUAUCUUUUUGAGAAAAGGUCUUGCUAUGUAGGUCAGGCUGGCCUGAGCUCACUUUGUAGCCCAGGCUGGUCUCGAACUCACAAGGAUACUCCUGCCUUAGCCUCCCAAAUGCUGGGAUUACAGGUGUGUACCACCACACCCUGCAGCUAUCUGUGUUCUGAAGAAAGCACAAAAAGAAAUAUAAAAAUCUUAAAGUAUGAAUAGUUAAUUUAUUCGAGUUUUCCAUUACAAAUCAGUGGCCCUUAAAGAUUCUUUUCUCAUUUAAAGUUGAAACAGAGCCAAGAAUAUUUUCCAGGUCUUUGUGGAAAAGAGCAGAGACAGAAAUUAUUUUCAUUUAGUCCCAAAUUAGCUUUAAAUGCCACACUCCCGGCCCUAAACCUAAGCACUUGAAAAGUUGUGAUUUUUUUUUUUUUUUUUUUUUGAGAAAAGGUCUUACUAAGACUUUGAAUUCACUAUAUAUGUAACUGAGGCUGGCGUCUAAUUCACGGCAAUCCUCUUGCCUCAGUCUUCUGAGUGCUAGGAUUACAGUUAUGUGCCACCAUGCCUGGCUUUGAAAAUCUAAUUCUUUUAACAGUUUUCAGACUAUGUUACUUUACAAAUUUCUUUCAACUGUGGUUUUUGUUUUAAUGAUAAUGUUGAGCCAAUGAUUUAACCUUUCUAUUUUCUUUGAAUUUUGAUGAUUCUGGCCAAAAUCCCCUAUCCUAUAACUGAUAUGCCUGUGGUUAUGCCCAGAGCAGGGACCACAACACAGCUCUCCUGCCUGUUGAUUCUAUUGCAGUAACCCUUGUCCAUAUACUGACUUCUGUUUCUUUUAGGACUGGGGAGAUUAUGAAUCCUAAAACAUAAAAAUGUACCUUUCAGAAUAUCCAAAGUCUCCCCAUAAAUUUUUGGUGUCCUUCUCAGACUAUCUUCUUACCCUUUAGGUAACAAGUCACUUGGAAUACCUUGACGUCUCCUCUUGGGGAGGCCAACCUAGUGCAACUGGAGCUUACAGAUGAAAAGAUUUUGAGGUGGAGGAUUCUCACCCAGAGAUUCCAAAUGGCCGUAUAAUAUCUUUUCUUUUUCCUCUUUAUCUAAGAAACUGACUAGAAUAGAGAGGUUGCAUAUUACACCAAAAAAAUGUACCCUCAAAGCCCCUGAGCAACACAAAACCUCAAAGCUAUUUUACUUUAUUUACCGUUGAGCAUCUUGGGUAUAUUACAUUUAUCUUCUCAUAACUGAAAGUCUAAUUCAUUACCUCCCAGGCAUAUACAUUUAGUGUGAGGCAUUUAUACUUUAUAGAGGAAGAGAAAGAAAUAAACAUUUGUAAAGCAUCUGUUACAUGUCAUAUAAUGAUUAGUACUUCUCUUUAUGUCUAUUUAUUUAUUGGUACCAGGAAUUGAACUGAGGACCUUGUGCUUAGCAGACAGACGCUGUGCCACUGAGCUAUAUCCCUGGCUCUUUAGGCCUUGUUUUAAAUUCUGACACAUAUAGUUGAUAUUCAUCUCCUCCUUUGACAAAUGAAAAGAAUUUCAGUGUAUAAAAUACUAAAAAAUAUUAUAAAUAAUUUUCAGUAUACAAAGUACUUUAGGAACAUUUGAACCAGAACUUACAGAAAGCAAUGAAAGCCAUCCUCUGACGGAACUUUAUGACUGAAUCCCUACAUCACACAAAAAAAGGAGUCCAAAUAAUUAACCUGAUGAUGGAUCUCAAGGUCCCCAAAAAACAAAAACAAUCCAAACUCAAAACUAGUACAAAGAAACUAUGAAGGCGAGAGUGGAAAUGAGUGAAAUUGAGACCCCCCCAAAAAAUACAGAGGAUUAAUGAAUUGAAGAGUCAGUUCUUUGAAAAAUCAAAGAAAAGGACACUUAGCCAAUCUAAUUAGAAUAAAUAGAAAAAAUACCCAGAUCAGUGCAGUUAGAAAUGAAAAGAUAAAAUCACAACAAACACUGCCAAAAUAGAAAACAUUAUCAACAACUGCUUUGCAAACCUGUACACCAAUAAAUUAGAGAAUUCAGAAGAAAUGAAUAGAUUUCUAGAUACACUGAAUUACCAGAAUGAAACCAAGAUGAUUUUAAAAUCAUGAACAAUCCAAUAACAGAUAAUGAAAUUGAAGCAGUUAUAAAUAAGAUACCACUAAGAAAAAUCCACAUCCAGAUAGGUUCACUGCUAAACUUUACAAAACUUUAGGAAAGUUCUAACACCAAUACUUCCCAAGCUUUUUAAUGAAAUUGAAAAAUAAGCAGUACUCCUAAAAUCAUGCCUGAAAGCUAACUUUAACCUGACUGCCAAACCAAAUGGGCACUCAAACAAAAAAAAACCAUAGACCAAUCUCUUUAAUGAAUAUAGAUGCAAAAAUCCUUGACCAAAUACUGGGAAAUACAAUGCAGCAAGUCAUCAAAAAGAUCAUAUAUCAUGACUAAAUAGGCUUCAUCCUAGGGAUGCAGGAAUGAUUCAACAUAGGUAAAUCAAUAAACAUAGUCAUUUAGAGAGGAAACAAUAAAAAUCACAGAAUCAUCUCAACAGAUGUAGAAAAAGCCUUUGACAAAGAUCAGCAUCCUUUCAUGAUAAAAACACUGAAGGAAAUAGUUAUAAAAGAACCUUAUCUCACUGGGUGUAGUGGCACAUACCUAUAAUCCUAACACUUGGGAGGCUGAAGUAGGAGGAUUGCUGUGAGUUAGAGGGUUAGAGUUUGAGACCAACAUGGCCCACAAAAUGAGUUCAAGCCUGAACUGCAUAGUAAAUCUCUAUCUCAAAAAAGAAAAGAAAAGAACCUUAUCUCAACCUGAUAAAAGCCAUCUAGGAGAGACCUACUACAAUAUAUUAAAUGGGGAAAAACUGAAAGCUUUCUGUUUAAAAUAAGGAGCAAGACAAGGAUGUCCACUGUCACUGUUCCUGUUCAACAUACCAGUAGCAGUGGAAACGUUACCAAGAGCAAUUAGGAAAGAGAAGAAAAUAAAAGAGUGUUAGAUAAAAGGAAGAAGUCAUCUUAUCAUUAUUUGUAGAUGACAUGAUCCUCUACAUAGAUAACCCAAAAAAUGCCCAAAAAAACUCUUGUUAAUAAUAAAAUUCAGUAAUACAGCAGGAUAUACAGCCAAUGCACAGAAAUCAGUAACAAUGUGAGGGCAAUCUGACUGUGACAUCUGUCACUCCAUUGAUCACCACUGUUGAUUUGCCUAAUCUGGCUGACCAGAUAGCUGUCCCUUCCUCCCUUGUGGCUCCAUAUGCCCCCUUUUUGAAGCUGUAUACUCUGAAAAAGAAUUUUCUCUGUCAAAGGUAUAGGAGCUCCCUUGCUAGAACCUCCAAACAAGCUCUCACAGUCCUUGUGCUGGUGUGAGUCUGUAAUUCAAGCACUCACUUAAUUUGGAGGCUGAGGCAAAGCAUCUCCUUGAGUUCAAGUCCAGCCUGAACUGCAUAGCGAGACCCUGUCUCAAAAAAGACAAAAAAAAGAAUGCUAAAUUAUAAACAAAAAGCAAAAUAAAAAAUAAUAGGAAGAAGGGAAAUAAAUUGUUCCCAAAGGGAAGGUAGAAUACAAGGGGAAGGAAGAGGGAGAGGGGGGAUAGGGAAUGAAUAAAAAAAGAUUGGAAGGUGUUUGUACAUGUACUAAUUCCAUACAAGAAAUAUAAUCAUUAUAUACUACACACAUGUGCUAAUAUGAUAAAAAAAUUUUAAAAGAGUAUCUGAGGGGAAUGCUAAUUCUACCAUAGGGACUUUGUGAAGAUAUCUCAGAGGUAAGCUAAUUUUCAAGGAUUAAGAAAGAGUUUCCAAUGGAACAAGCACAAUAAAGAGCCUAAUACUACACCUCAGGCUACUUACAAAAAGAAGUGCAAGUCAAGCUUAUAGCUCAGAAAGACGGAAGGAAAUUAUAAAAAUGGAACAGAAAUUAACGCAAUUGAGACUAUGAAAGCAAUAUACAGAAUUAACAAAUUGAAGAGUUGGUUCUUUGAAAGAAUAAAUAAAAUUGAUAAACCUCUAGGCAGCCAUAUCCAAAAAAAGAAAGAAACAUUCAAAUUCAUGCAGUAAGGAAUGAAAAGGAUGAGAUCAGUAUAGAUCAUGUGUAAAUUCAGAAGAUCACCAAUACAUACUUUGAAAAUCUUUACUCUCAUAGGAUGGAAAAUUGGAAAAAAUGGGCAAAUUCCUAGAAACAUGAAUUGCCAAAGCUGGAUCAAGAAGAUAUAAAAAUUCUGAAUAAUGCAGUAUCAGUUAACAAGAUUCAAAAUGUAAUUAAAAACUUACCAACAGAGAAAAGCUCAGGUCCUGGUGGAUUCACAGCUGAAUUCUACAAGAAACUUAGAGAGUUAAUACCAAUACUCCUCAAACUCUAAUUGAAAGGGAAUUCCUAGAGGCAGGUAUUAAUUACCCUGAUACCAAAGCCAGAGAAAAACACAAUCAAAAAUAAGAAUUACAGGCCAAUCUUCAUAAUGAACAUGCAAAGAUACUCAAUAAAUGCUAGGAGAGUACAGCAAAUCAUCAAUCCCAUGACCAAGUAGGAUUCAUCCCAGGAGUGCAAGGAUGGUUCAGCAUGUACAAAUCAGUAGAUGUAAUUCACCAUAUAAACAGAGCCAAAGAAAAAAAAUCACAUGACCAUCUCAAUAGAUGCAGAAAAACUUUUGACAAAGUCCAACACUCAUUCAUGCUAAAAGCCCUUAGAAAAUCAGUGUAGGUAGUCUUUACAUCAAUCUGGUAAAAGCCAUCUAUGACAGACCAUCAGCCAACAUUAGGUUGAAACUGAAAGCUUUCAAAGUAAAAUCAGGAGCAAGACAAAGAUGUCCAUUAUUGCUACUGCUAUUCAAUAUAGUCCUAGAAACAUUAAUUAGCCAGAAAAAUUAGACAAGAGAAAUAAAAGGAAUAUGAAUAGGAAAAGAAGUGACUUUAUCAUUAUUCACAGAUGAUAUGACGUUCUACAUAGAAAAACCCAAAAAUGCUACCAAAAGGUUUCUAGAUUUAACAGCCAGAUCCAGUAGCAUAGCUGGAUACAAAGUCAGUAUUCAAAAAUCAAUAGCAUUCCUGUACACAAAAAACAAACUCACUGUGAGAGAAAUCAGGAAAACCACACCCCUCAUAAUAACAUCUAAAAAGAAAUGAAAUACUUAGGAAUCAAUGUAACAAAGCAAGUAAAAGAUCUGUACAUUGAAAAUUACAGUACUCUGAAAAAAAUUGAAGAGGAUCUCAGAAAUAAAGAGAUAUUCCUUGUUCAUGGAUAAAAAGAACCAACAUUGUGAAAAUGGCCAUAUUCCCAAAACUUACACAGAUUUAAUUCAGUUCUGAUCAAAAUACUAUUAACAUACUUCACAGACAUAAAUUCCUAAAAUUCGUCUGAAACCAGAAGAGAUUUAAAAUAGCAAAGGCAAUCCUGAGCAACCCCUUACUUGAAAUUAUGCUACAAAGGUACAGUGAUAAAGUCAGCACUGGUGCUGGCAAAAAAGCAGACCUGAGGAUCAGUGAAACAAAUUAGAAGAUGCAGAAAGAGCUAGAAACACACUCAGCCACUUUAUCUUUGAUGAAAGGGCCAAACAUGUUCACAAAAAAAAAAAAAAAAAAAAGCUUCUUUAAGAGAAAUGGUGCUGAAAAAACUGGCCUUCUAUAUGCCAAAGACUGAAAUUAAACCCAUGUGUAUCAUCAUACACUAAA
Cavia porcellus (domestic guinea pig) is the source of this 26204-nucleotide long non-coding RNA. RefSeq lists it as uncharacterized. The transcript is spliced from 5 exons. The record is from RefSeq and is a predicted model, not a curated record. Lineage: Eukaryota; Metazoa; Chordata; Mammalia; Rodentia; Caviidae.